UAGGGAAUCUUCGGCAAUGGGGGCAACCCUGACCGAGCAACGCCGCGUGAGUGAAGAAGGUUUUCGGAUCGCAAAGCUCUGUUGUAAGAGAAGAACGAGUGUGAGAGUGGAAAGUUCACACUGUGACGGUAUCUUACCAGAAAGGGACGGCUAACUACGUGCCAGCAGCCGCGGUAAUACGUAGGUCCCAAGCGUUGUCCGGAUUUAUUGGGCGUAAAGCGAGCGCAGGCGGUUCUGUAAGUCUGGAGUAAAAGGCAGUGGCUCAACCAUUGUGUGCUCUGGAAACUGCAGGACUUGAGUGCAGAAGGGGAGAGUGGAAUUCCAUGUGUAGCGGUGAAAUGCGUAGAUAUAUGGAGGAACACCGGUGGCGAAAGCGGCUCUCUGGUCUGUAACUGACCCUGAGGCUCGAAAGCGUGGGGAGCAAACAGGAUUAGAUACCCUGGUA
Molecule: ribosomal RNA, 445 nt
Filed under: uncultured bacterium
Lineage: Bacteria
Description: bacterial SSU rRNA
Rfam family: Bacterial small subunit ribosomal RNA
Source: RNAcentral